Orcinus orca (killer whale) is the source of this 4101-nucleotide long non-coding RNA. RefSeq lists it as uncharacterized. Lineage: Eukaryota; Metazoa; Chordata; Mammalia; Artiodactyla; Delphinidae. The record is from RefSeq and is a predicted model, not a curated record. The transcript is spliced from 2 exons.
CUGAGCCCCACUUUUUAUUACUAGAUUCAUCAGACCUAAAAUUCAAUGUUGCAGUAAUGUUCAAUGGCUGUAAACAUUGCUUUUUUUUUUUUUUUACAUCUUUGUUGGAGUAUAAUUGCUUUACAAUGGUGUGUUGGUUUCUGCUUUAUAACAAAGUGAAUCAGUUAUACAUAUACAUGUGUUCCCAUAUCUCCUCCCUCUUGCAUCUCCCUCCCUCCCACCCUCCAUAUCCCACCCCUCUAGGUGGUCACAAAGCACCGAGCUGAUCUCCCUGUGCUAUGCAGCUGCUUCCCACCAGCUAUCUACCUUACAUUUGGUAGUGUAUAUAUGUCCAUGCCUCUCUCUCGCUUUGUCACAGCUUACCCUUCCCCCUCCCCAUAUCCUCAAGUCCAUUCUCUAGUAGGUCUGUGUCUUUAUUCCUGUCUUCAUUUCUAACUGGUUACUCUCAAUUUCUGUGCUUUUCUCACUGUCCACCAGAAACUGGCUGUUCAUGGACUGGCAGACCACCAUUCCAUUAGUACUGUAGUGAGAGGACAAAAUUUAACACUGAGCCUGAAACACACUUCUAAAUAUUUAACAAAUGUGAAAGAAAGAGGGAAAGGGAUAAGGAGGAGGGGAAUAACAAGUAAAGAGAGGAAGAGAGAAAGUUGAAGAAGCAUAGGAUUAAAAAAGUUAAAGGACUGGAACCAAAACUAUAAUAGACAUUGAUAGGCACCUGAGACAGAAGAGUUCACUAGUACCCUAAUGAGAUGAUUGGGUCAGGAUUAAUACUCAGUGUGGUUAUGUAGUUAUAUCUAGAAAUAUAUCUACAUCUUCCUACUAUCAUCUUACUUUGGUCUCCCAAAAUGUACACAUUUUAUUGUCAAUUGACACAUGACUUUAAUUCAGAACAACUCCCAGCUUCCCCAGAAUCUCUUCUCAUGUAUUUCUGGGAGUUCUCACCUUGUGUCUCAUUCAUGCUUAUGCUCAUGACUAGAUAUGGUGGGGUAUUUUCAUUAGAAAUUUAUGCAUGAGGAAAAAUAUAUCCUUGGGAGAGUAACUAUACCAACACAAGCCUGAUCCAGCAACCAAAUCUCAGAUGGGUAGAACUAACAAAGCUGAGAACAGUUAUGCCUGUUGCUUAUGCCUGGGUGAUUGUUUGAGUCCUAGAAAGAAGAUUAUAAGUAAAAGUUAAAAGUCUCGUUUAGUAAGCACAAGACAUUGUGAAAUAAACACAACACUUUGCUCCUCUUUGAAAAAAUGUGCAGGAAAGCAUUCUCCUUAUCUUUCCCCCACAGAAUACUGUAAAACUUUGACACCUUGAAGACUGGGUACACAGUAGGGGUGACUACUACAGGCAGAGAUAUUCUGUGGGUCCAGCAAUGUCCAAGAGAAAGGAGAGAAGUGCUCAGAUUAAUGGUACUCUUGACUGAGGUGGGGAAUUCCAGCUGAAAUAGCGUCUUCCCAUUGAUGAGACAAGUAAAAUGAUGAGUUUGAGUGGGAGAAGAGAAAAGAAAUAAGGUACAUCAAUAGGGGCUGACCAGACUUGUUUGUAAACCUACCCACUGAAGAUUAGAACAUAAAUAGAUGGGGUGGGGAGAAAUUUGUCCAAGUUUCUCAUUCCAUGGUUUUUGGUUUCAGUGCCUUUAUCUGUCUAUCUAUCUAUCUAUCUACCUAUCUAUCUAUAUAUCUACCUAUCAUCUAAAAUUUUAUUUUUAAAGUCUUAUAUUAGAAGACUGACAGAUAUUAUUAAAAAGAGGUCUUUGAAUUUUGUGGAACCAACUGAUAUACACAGUCAACAUGCCAUGUGUAGAGUGGGAAAAUCAGGGAAGCAAUACAAUGUGCAUGGCGUACCUUGCAAACCAGGUUAGUUAGCAUAUGCUGUUCCUUAUACAUACAAAUAUUUUGUCUUGUAAUGUCCUAGAUAAUUACAGUUAAAACUGAUUGAAACAUACAUGUAACCAAAGGGCCUGGCAGUCUGAACAUAUACUGGUACUGAGACAGGUUUGGACAUGCGUGAUCAAGUAAUGGUGACAUGGGCUUCCAGGAGGCAGUUUUCAUGAAGCAGUUUGGCGUUGCCCUUAAACUCUGACAAAAAUAGUGUAGGGGAAAAAAGGUGGCCCCAAAAUGCUAAACACGAGGAGAAAUCCCUAGUCAUUAUAACAAUCGAAAUAUCUCCUCACAGAUUCCCAAAUGCCUCCUUGAAGAAACUUUUAUUUCUCCUUUAUUCUACAUAUCCAGCUCUCUUAAGAGACAAUGUGUAAAUCUAUGAUGUUUAAAGAUUACUCAAUAUGAUGAUAGUUAAUACUUAUUGAGCACCUAUUCUAUGCCACCAUUGUGCUAAGCCCAACACCUACAUAUUUCAUUUAUUUCUCUCAGAAAACUUUAAAUUUCAUGCCAUUAUUUUAUUCAUCUUACAGUUGAGUAAACUAAGGUUACAAAUGUGAGGUAAAUUGCUUAAAUCCACACAGCUGGCAAGUGUUUACAUCUGAAUACUGGAUAUCAGAGUACAUAACCUGUAAAACGAUCUUUAAAGGACAAUAUACUUCACGUAACAUCAGUGGGGAAGAUAAGGGCUGAAAAGGGAAAAGCAUCAGAGCAUUCCUUUCAGAUGUUCCUUGAGUAUACAUACACCUUUACCAAAACACAUGCUUUUAAUAUGAGCUGGGGAUACUUUGCUGGUUUGAGCUUCAGGAAACCAGUAGGGCAUUGAAGUUAUGAGAGCAGAACUGGAAUAUAACAGACUCUAUUCAAAUUCUGGCUCUUCUUGAUUUUAGGCAAAGUUAUUCAAACUGCUUUGCUUUCAUUUUUUUUCACCUGUGAACCUAGUAAGGGAGAGAAAACUUAAACUAGUGGGAAAACUAUGACUGAAAGUCACAGCCCUGAGACAUAGGACCUUAAAAGCCUGAGACUUAAUUGGAAGAUUAUAGAAUGCUCCCUCUCCUCCACGUCUUACCACCAUUCCAACAGCACUCUGGUAUAACAGGGUGGAUUACAGCUGAAAGAGCUGCAAGCCAUUCUCCCUGAGGUGAAUUUAGGGAAUCUCAAAUAAAGAGGGGAGACAAAAAUCAAAGACAUUAAGGGAAUUUGAGGUCUCUGACACAUAACUACAGCAAACAUUAAGCACAGCUGAACUUCUAGCACAGUUAACAUAAAUUCUUAUAUUAAAGUUUAUUUACCUCAGUUCCUAUUACCCAAUUACAAUAUGUCCAACUUUCAACAACAACAACAAAAAGACUUAAAGGUAUGGCAAAAAAUAAGAAACAUACAAUUUGAAGAGACAGAGUGAUAAUCAAAACCAAACUCAGAUAUGGCACAGAUAAUGGAAUUAUCAGAUAGAAUUUUAAAUAACCAUGAUUAAUAUGGUAAGGUCUCUAAUGGAAAAAGUAGAGAACAUGCAAGAAUGGAUGUGUAUAUUCUAUUCACACUUCUUUAGAAAAUUAUGACAAAGAAAAAUCUUGAAAGAAACCAGAGGAAAAGAACAUCUCCAUAUAGAGAAACAAAGCUAAGAAUUACAAUGGACUUCUCAUCUGAAACUAUGCAAGCAAGAAGUGAUAUUUAAUUAUUGAAAGAAGGAAAAAAAUUGAGUAUUCUAUAUCCAACAAAUUCACUCAACAGGGAAGGAGAAAAAAAAUUUCUCAGUGAAACAAAAACUGAGGGAAUUUUCAGCAGACCUCUCUGCAGGAAAUAUUAAAAUAAUUUUUUUUAAAUUUUUUUUUAAUUAAUUAAUUUAUGUUUGGCUGCGUUGGGUCUUUGUUGCUGCAUUUGGGCUUUCUCUAGUUGCGGUGAGCAGGGGCUACUCUACAUUCCAGUGUGUGGGCUUCUCAUCAUGGUGGCUUCACUUGUUGUAGAGCGUAGGCUUCAGUAGUUGUGGCUCACAGGCUUAGUUGCUCUGUGACAUGUGGAAUCUUCCCAGACCAGGCUCGAACUCAUGUCCCCUGCAUUGGCAGGCAGAGUCUUAACCACUGCACCACCAGGGAAGUCCUAAAAGAAAUUCUUUAGGAAGAAGAAAAAUAAUAUAGAUCAAAAACUAUGAUCUACAUGAAGAAAGAAAGACCAUUGGAGAAGGAAAAAAAAAAUGAAGGUAAAAUAAAAUCUUUUAUUAAUUGAUCAAAAAAAAAA